AAUGUUGCUCAAUUUAAAUGUGCAAAAAAUUUAAUUUUCUAAUUGGGUGUGUUGGUUUGACGUUAAGAGUUUAGAAUAAAAAAAUGUAGGUUUCAAUGCUUAAGAACUUAAAAAUUCUAGCAUAGUUUCGAUGUCAUUUUGCUGUGAAUAUAAGAAGUUAAAAAUUUUAGAAUUUAAGAACUUAGAAAUUCUAGCUGUUUAGAACAAAAAACCCAGGUUUCAAUGCUUAAGAACAAAGAAAUUCUAGCAUGAUUUCGAUGUCAUUUUGACCGAGAGUUUAAGAGCAUAGCUAGUUAGACGUGCGUUUGUGGCAUAUUCCAUUGUGAAAAAAACACAUUAUAUAUAAAGACAAGAAUCACAAAUUGCUCUAUUCAUAAAAUGCAUCAUGGUGAAAAAAUUUAGAAGUAAAAACCAUAAAAUUUUAACUUUAAACAUAUGUAAAAGAAUAAGAGAAUUAAUAGAAGGAAAGUGAGUUAUUUUGAAUGCGAAGAUUAUUUGGAUUUUUUUGUUGGCAGAGGAGAUUGAGGAGGUAUAGUGUUUUUAUUUUGCUCCAUCCCCUAUGAUUGGGAUUCAAGAAAAAUUUAUAUUUAUAUUUGAUGAAGCAACUUUUUUGUGUAUGGUAUUGAUUACUAUUCAUAUGGUUUUUUGACAAAUGUUUGUCCACAUGAUUGAUACUUUGAUGUGUUAGUGCUUUCAAUGAAGGAUUUAUCAACCAAGGUUAAUCAAUAUCCACUUUGCUUUUCAUGUUUAAAAAUCAUGGAAUGAUUGGUUGGGAGUUUAUUUUCUGUUGAAUCUUUGGAUAGUUAAUUCUGAAAAUACGGGCAUCAUGAUAAAACUGGUUUUUAUUCGAGUAGUACCUCGUUGAAGGUUGUGAAUCCAGAACAAGGUAUUUACUUUAAAAGGGAAAGUAGCCCAUGAUUGAAUUCUUAAUGGAACUUUAUAAUCUAUGUAUAGACUAUUUGUGCACUUCGACUGAGUGUGUCUUUGAUCUUAAUCUUGGUAGUGCUCCCUUGCUUGUUACUUAAGUCCUUGAUGAUGUGGGAGAAGAUAGUACCAAUAUUUAACAGUAAUUGUUACUGAAAGCAGAUCAAAAUGUUCUUAAGUAACAGUAAUUGUUACUUAAGUCCUUGAUGAUGUGUGGUUAUAUUCUAUGCUCUUAAUGAUAUGAAAUUAUGUUCUUACUGUGUCUGCGAAGUCAUUUAAAUAAUAUUUUGCUUCAAUAGAGCAACUGAAAGCAGAUCAAAAUGUUUUGAAACUGGCUGAAGAUCAAAAGAAACAAAAGGAACUCCAUGCUAAAAUCAUUCAGAUUGAAAAACAAUUGGAUAUGAAACAAAAGCUGGAAUUAUACCUAGAUUAAUGAAUAUAAUCCUAGUGGGCGAUAUGUAACCUCCGAAUUAUGGAACUACAAAACUGGAAAAAGAGAAACUUUGAAGGAAGGAGUACAAUUUUUGUUGAACACAUGGAAACGCAAGAAAGGAAUGUUGCGAAGGUUUGUAUACAAUUUUGUUACUCUAUAUUCAUGUUACUGAAAUUUACCUAAAACUGGUGGAAAAAAAAGAAAAGAAAUCUAUGACCAAUUAUUGUGUCUUACCCCUUUCCAUAUGAAUACUGCUACUGUUUUAAUAACAAUUUCAUGUUACAAUGGAUGGUUGAUGUUGAUGGCGCAAAUAUAAUAACUUAUGCAUGGCAGCUGGUUUGCACACAUCCAUAUUUGUAGAGCUGUGAACUCAUGGUUAAUGUAUGUUUAAGUGAUCUAUGGAUAUGUUAAACUAGUUAGUUUCACUAUUUCACUAGACAGAUGGUAAUUUUCAAGACUCAAAACUGCUUUUGCUCUAGAGUGAGUGACAGUCUUUGGUAUUAUCUCUAGCAUGGAAGACACAUAUUUUGAUAAGAAACUUGUAUGACAAUAUAUUACUAGCCUUUUAAUUAUCAAGUUUCUUUCUUCUUC
Vicia villosa (hairy vetch) is the source of this 1948-nucleotide long non-coding RNA. RefSeq lists it as uncharacterized. NCBI's taxonomy places the organism in Eukaryota, Viridiplantae, Streptophyta, Magnoliopsida, Fabales, Fabaceae. The record is from RefSeq and is a predicted model, not a curated record. The transcript has 2 exons.